RNAcentral lists this long non-coding RNA (2058 nucleotides) under Mus musculus (house mouse). RNAcentral's name for it is "long non-coding RNA chr16:49922458-49924516". Lineage: Eukaryota; Metazoa; Chordata; Mammalia; Rodentia; Muridae. The record is from RNAcentral.
GGACUCAGAUACAGGCCAAUCCUUGGAGCUCAGUGACAGGCCAGUCUUGCCAAGUGGUGGAUUCUGGGUCUCAGUGAGAGAUUUCCUCAAAACCAAUAAUGUGGUGUGUUACAGAGGAAGACAUACUUUGGCCUCCAGCAUAUACAUAUAUAUCAUAUAAUAGACAUAAACAUAGACAUACAUGCACAUGCACAUAUGCACGCAAAUAGACCAAAAGAAGAAAAAAAAGAAGAAGUUACAGUUUCUCCUGUAACUUUCAGUCUGUGGCUCUGAUGAAAACCAACAACACAACAACAAAACAAACAAAUAAAAGCAAAAACAAAAAACACCGUUUUGAGCUAAGAAAAACAAAACCGCAGCUAAUAUCAUUAGCAUGUUAUGUUUCUGCCAAUAGGCACACCACAGGAAUGCCUAGCAAAGAAUUCACUUUUUUUCUUUCUCUGGUUUUGUCUGGAGCUUUCUCAGCAUCACCGUACAUUAGAGAUCAUGCAUGGGUUUUUGUUUGUUUGUUUGUUUUUUAUCACAAAUGCUUUGUCAAAUCGCCUUAUCAUAAUUCACUUUCCAGGUUGUUUUCUUCCUGUCCCUCUCAUGAACUUCAGCACCCAGGGUGAUACCUGAGUUGAUCCAUGCUAACUGUAGUGGAGGGAAGGGAGUAGGAGGCAGAAUGAGGUGGGAGGGAAGCCAUCUUUAGAAGACUCAGGGGCACGAGAGGAGCAACACAAGGAGUUAGAGGUGACUCCACUUAGCCUUAGAGAGUCUUGCCAAACCACUCCAUGUUCUUCGCCUCUUCUCACUUUUCAGGAAUAUUUCUUGGAUCCAUAAAUAGACAGGCGAGACAGUGUGUCAAAUGCCGUAAAAUCCCAGGGAGAAAGAUGGGACGAUACAUAAAUCAGUGUCAUUUCUUAUGUCACUGUUAAUUGCAUCGGCUUCACUCCUGUCUCCCUCAUCCCACACAUCCCUCUCCUCCACUUCUGGAAAGGUACCACUUAGUGGCUCGUUCUCCCUCGAAAUGACAUUAUCAGCCAUCGUGCCCUGUGUCAGAGACAACGCAACAGACUGAAAAUACAGGCAGAGGCAGAGUUCUUCUGAGACAGUGUAAAAAUUUAGUGGAUUUCAUACUUUCUGCCUACACUGAGCCCCUUGUUUUUUGCAUAGGAAGAAAAGAGGAGAUAAACGAAUGACCUUCUUUUUCCUUUUGUAGCGGUGCUUUGGGUUUUUUAAGACGUGGCUGUGGAAAAACAAAAAUAUAAACAAGGCCUAGGAAAUUCUUGCGCAAACACACUUAGGCCUCAAAAAUAACAUUACUCUUGGUUAAACUGCACAAAGCAGCAGCACUUCAUUUGUGCAAGUGUUAGUCAUCGCUUGGCAAUGUCAGGGGGAUACAGAACUCCACCUCACCCAGUCAAUAGCAACUGACAUAGGACACUAUGGUUAGGAAAUUCCCGACAAGCAAAGUGGAAAAGGGAUUACUGGAUACAGCCAAUCACGUGAUUUCUUUGUUCUGCUUCACGUCUUCCUUAUAAAUUCUUGCCGCUGAUAAUUUACCAGAACACUAAAACCUCUUUCAGUCUGGCACUCCCCAGUUCAUAAACUGCUUCCUGUUCAAAUGAACUCUACGGUUUUAUUGCACCUCAGGUAAUUCCGUUUACGUAUAAAAGUAGCUAAUGAGAUAGAAUGGGGACUCAGUGAAUUUUACUCAUUUCCCCUACCACUCACAAAUAGGAAAAGAAGAAAAAAAAUAAAACUAUAUACAUUCUUCCAUGUUUUUAACUUUUAUAUGUUUCCUUUUGUUUUAUAUCUAUGAGUGUUUUCACCUGCAUGAAUGUAUUUGCACCAAAUACAUGUCUGAUGCCCUCAGAAGUCAAACGAGGGCAUUAGUUCUUCUGGACCUGAAGUUCUAGAUGCUUGCAAGCCCACCAUGUGGGUACUAAAUAGCAAACCCAGGUCCUCUGUAAGAGCAACGAAAAAGCUCUUAAAUGCUGAGCCAUCUCUCUAACUCCUCCCAUUUCUUAAAAGAUGUUAAGGGUGAUGUUGGAAAGAAGUCGAACUUUUUAAUAU